Angiostrongylus costaricensis is the source of this 72-nucleotide non-coding RNA. NCBI's taxonomy places the organism in Eukaryota, Metazoa, Nematoda, Chromadorea, Rhabditida, Metastrongylidae. The record is from Rfam.
UCCGCUGUGGUCUGGUGGUUAGGAUUUACGGCUCUCACAAGUAAGGCCCGUGUUCGAUUCCCGGCAACGGAA